GUGAGGAAUAUUGGUCAAUGGACGAGAGUCUGAACCAGCCAAGUCGCGUGAAGGAAGACGGUUCUAUGAAUUGUAAACUUCUUUUGUGCAGGAAUAAAGUGGGUUACGUGUAGCCUUUUGUAUGUACUGUACGAAUAAGGAUCGGCUAACUCCGUGCCAGCAGCCGCGGUAAUACGGAGGAUCCGAGCGUUAUCCGGAUUUAUUGGGUUUAAAGGGUGCGUAGGUGGAUUGAUAAGUCAGCGGUGAAAGUUUGCAGCUUAACUGUAAAAUUGCCGUUGAAACUGUCGGUCUUGAGUGCAAAUGAGGUAGGCGGAAUGUGUUGUGUAGCGGUGAAAUGCUUAGAUAUAACACAGAACUCCGAUUGCGAAGGCAGCUUACUGGGAUGCAACUGACACUGAUGCACGAAAGCGUGGGUAUCAAACAGGAUUAGAAACCCUAGUAGUCC
RNAcentral lists this ribosomal RNA (445 nucleotides) under uncultured bacterium. RNAcentral describes it as "partial 16S ribosomal RNA". It matches the Rfam family "Bacterial small subunit ribosomal RNA", at positions 354 to 796 of the family's 1533-position model. The record is from RNAcentral.